Molecule: ribosomal RNA, 256 nt
Filed under: uncultured bacterium
Lineage: Bacteria
Description: partial 16S ribosomal RNA
Rfam family: Bacterial small subunit ribosomal RNA
Source: RNAcentral
UACGUAGGGUGCGAGCGUUGUCCGGAAUUAUUGGGCGUAAAGAGCUUGUAGGCGGUUUGUCGCGUCUGCUGUGAAAUCUCAAGGCUCAACCUUGAGCUUGCAGUGGGUACGGGCAGACUAGAGUGUGGUAGGGGGAGACUGGAAUUCCUGGUGUAGCGGUGAAAUGCGCAGAUAUCAGGAGGAACACCUAUUGCGAAGGCAGCUCGCUGGGACGUUACUGACGCUGGAGAACGCGAAAGCGUGGGGAGCAAACAGG